GGGGUUGUAGCUCAGUGGUAGAGCACUUGCCUAGCAUAUGCAAAACACUGGGUUUGAUCCUCAGCACCACA
RNAcentral lists this transfer RNA (71 nucleotides) under Marmota monax (woodchuck). RNAcentral's name for it is "tRNA.Ala". It matches the Rfam family "tRNA". Rfam says of the family: Transfer RNA (tRNA) molecules are approximately 80 nucleotides in length. Lineage: Eukaryota; Metazoa; Chordata; Mammalia; Rodentia; Sciuridae. The record is from RNAcentral.